CCGCACGGGUGAGUAACACGUAUCCAACCUGCCGUCUACUCUUGGACAGCCUUCUGAAAGGAAGAUUAAUACAAGAUGGCAUCAUGAGUUCACAUGUUCACAUGAUUAAAGGUAUUCCGGUAGACGAUGGGGAUGCGUUCCAUUAGAUAGUAGGCGGGGUAACGGCCCACCUAGUCUUCGAUGGAUAGGGGUUCUGAGAGGAAGGUCCCCACAUUGGAACUGAGACACGGUCCAA
This 235-nucleotide ribosomal RNA is filed under the name uncultured bacterium. RNAcentral describes it as "partial 16S ribosomal RNA". It matches the Rfam family "Bacterial small subunit ribosomal RNA", at positions 98 to 334 of the family's 1533-position model. The record is from RNAcentral.